Molecule: ribosomal RNA, 440 nt
Filed under: uncultured bacterium
Lineage: Bacteria
Description: partial 16S ribosomal RNA
Rfam family: Bacterial small subunit ribosomal RNA
Source: RNAcentral
CCUACGGGAGGCAGCAGUGGGGAAUAUUGCACAAUGGGGGGAACCCUGAUGCAGCGACGCCGCGUGAGUGAAGAAGUAUUUCGGUAUGUAAAGCUCUAUCAGCAGGGAAGAAAAUGACGGUACCUGACUAAGAAGCCCCGGCUAACUACGUGCCAGCAGCCGCGGUAAUACGUAGGGGGCAAGCGUUAUCCGGAUUUACUGGGUGGAAAGGGAGCGUAGACGGCAGAGCAAGUCUGAAGUGAAAGCCCGCGGACCAACUGCGGGACUGCUUUGGAAACUGCCCGGCUAGAGUGCUGGAGAGGUAAGCGGAAUUCCUAGUGUAGCGGUGGAAUGCGUAGAUAUUAGGAGGAACACCAGUGGCGAAGGCGGCUUACUGGACAGUAACUGACGUUGAGGCUCGAAAGCGUGGGGAGCAAACAGGAUUAGAUACCCGGGUAGUC